CAGCCGCCGCGGGAAUACGGAGGGUGCAAGCGUUACUCGGAAUCACUGGGCGUAAAGGACGCGUAGGCGGAUUAUCAAGUCUCUUGUGAAAUCUAACGGCUCAACCGUUAAACUGCUUGGGAAACUGAUAAUCUAGAGUAAGGGAGAGGCAGAUGGAAUUCUUGGUGUAGGGGUAAAAUCCGUAGAUAUCAAGAAGAAUACCUAUUGCGAAGGCGAUCUGCUGGAACUUAACUGACGCUAAUGCGUGAAAGCGUGGGGAGCAAACAGGAUUAGAUACCCCCGUAGUCCCUGUCUCUUAUAA
Molecule: ribosomal RNA, 301 nt
Filed under: uncultured bacterium
Lineage: Bacteria
Description: partial 16S ribosomal RNA
Rfam family: Bacterial small subunit ribosomal RNA
Source: RNAcentral